AACGAACGCUGGCGGCAUGCCUAACACAUGCAAGUCGAACGAGACCUUCGGGUCUAGUGGCGCACGGGUGCGUAACGCGUGGGAACCUGCCCUUAGGUUCGGAAUAACUCCCCGAAAGGGGUGCUAAUACCGGAUAAUGUCUUCGGACCAAAGAUUUAUCGCCUUUGGCUGGGCCCGCGUUGGAUUAGCUAGUUGGUAGGGUAAAAGCCUACCAAGGCGACGAUCCAUAGCUGGUCUGAGAGGAUGAUCAGCCACACUGGGACUGAGACACGGCCCAGACUCGUACGGGAAGCAGCAGUGGGGAAUAUUGGACAAUGGGCGAAAGCCUGAUCCAGCAAUGCCGCGUGAGUGAUGAAGGCCUUAGGGUUGUAAAGCUCUUUUACCCGGGAUGAUAAUGACAGUACCGGGAGAAUAAGCUCCGGCUAACUCCGUG
Molecule: ribosomal RNA, 433 nt
Filed under: uncultured bacterium
Lineage: Bacteria
Description: partial 16S ribosomal RNA
Rfam family: Bacterial small subunit ribosomal RNA
Source: RNAcentral